GAUGUAAGCAAUGGUGAAAAGUUUGCUUGUAAAUCUAUAUCCAAGAAGAAGCUAAGAACUGCAGUGGAUAUUGAGGAUGUGCGGAGAGAGGUUAAGAUAAUGAAGCAUUUGCCUUCCCAUCCAAAUAUUGUCUCUUUGAAGAGUACUUAUGAGGAUGAUAGUGCUGUGCACAUUGUGAUGGAAUUAUGUGAGGGAGGUGAGUUGUUUGAUAGGAUUGUAGCACGGGGGCAUUACACAGAAAGGGCAGCUGCUGCAGUUAUGCGGACAAUCGUGGAAGUUGUUCAGGUGUGCCAUAAACAUGGAGUCAUGCAUCGC
RNAcentral lists this unclassified non-coding RNA (315 nucleotides) under Hevea brasiliensis (rubber tree). Lineage: Eukaryota; Viridiplantae; Streptophyta; Magnoliopsida; Malpighiales; Euphorbiaceae. The record is from RNAcentral.